UGCCAGCCGCCGCGGUAAUACGGAGGGGACUAGCGUUGUUCGGAAUUACUGGGCGUAAAGCGUACGCAGGCGGACCAGCAAGUUGAGGGUGAAAUCCCGGGGCUCAACCCCGGAACUGCCCUCAAAACUGCUGAUCUAGAGACCGGGAGAGGUUAGUGGAAUACCUAGUGUAGAGGUGAAAUUCGUAGAUAUUAGGUGGAACACCAGUGGCGAAGGCGGCUCACUGGCUCGAUACUGACGCUGAGGUACGAAAGUGUGGGGAGCAAACAGGAUUAGAUA
RNAcentral lists this ribosomal RNA (279 nucleotides) under uncultured bacterium. Its description in RNAcentral is "partial 16S ribosomal RNA". It matches the Rfam family "Bacterial small subunit ribosomal RNA", at positions 506 to 784 of the family's 1533-position model. The record is from RNAcentral.